This is a ribosomal RNA of Danio rerio (zebrafish), 116 nucleotides long. The record is from Ensembl. NCBI's taxonomy places the organism in Eukaryota, Metazoa, Chordata, Actinopteri, Cypriniformes, Danionidae.
UUAAGAGUAGCUAGCUCUCUGCAACUCUCACAUGGUCGCCCACUAAAGCUAAGCAGGGCUGCGCCCGGUCAUUACCUGGAUGGGAGAUCACAUGGGAAAGCUAGUUUUCUGCUGGA